AGUGGGGGACUGCGUUCGCGCUUUCCCCUG
This 30-nucleotide non-coding RNA is filed under the name Callithrix jacchus (white-tufted-ear marmoset). Lineage: Eukaryota; Metazoa; Chordata; Mammalia; Primates; Cebidae. RNAcentral also lists the same sequence under 3 other names. The record is from RNAcentral.